UCCCCUAGUAACUGCGAGUGAAGCGGGAAAAGCUCAAAUUUAAAAUCUGGUAGUCUAUGGCUGCCCGAGUUGUAAUCUAGAGAAGCGUUACCCGCGCUGGACCGUGUAUAAGUGUCCUGGAAUGGACUAUCAUAGAGGGUGAGAAUCCCGUCUUUGACACGGACUCCCAGGGCUUUGUGGUGCGCUCUCAAAGAGUCGAGUUGUUUGGGAAUGCAGCUCUAAAUGGGUGGUAAAUUCCAUCUAAAGCUAAAUAUUGGCGAGAGACCGAUAGCGAACAAGUACCGUGAGGGAAAGAUGAAAAGAACUUUGGAAAGAGAGUUAAACAGUACGUGAAAUUGUUGAAAGGGAAACGCUUGAAGUCAGUCGCGUUGGCUGGGAAUCAACCUUGCUUUUGCUGGGCGUACUUUCCAGUUGACGGGUCAGCAUCAGUUUUGGUCGGUGGAUAAAGGUCAGGGGAAUGUGGCACCUUCGGGUGUGUUAUAGCCCUUGGUUGUAUACACUGGCUGGGACUGAGGAACUCAGCACUUGUGCUUAGGAUGCUGGCAUAAUGGCUUUAAGCGACCCGUCUUGAAACACGGACCAAGGAGUCUAACAUGCCUGCGAGUGUUUGGGUGCAAAACCCGAGCGCGUAAUGAAAGUGAAAGUCGAGAUCCCUGUCGUG
Molecule: ribosomal RNA, 661 nt
Filed under: Arthromyces matolae
Lineage: Eukaryota; Fungi; Basidiomycota; Agaricomycetes; Agaricales; Lyophyllaceae
Description: partial large subunit ribosomal RNA
Rfam family: Eukaryotic large subunit ribosomal RNA
Source: RNAcentral